This is a long non-coding RNA of Acipenser ruthenus (sterlet), 1051 nucleotides long. RefSeq lists it as uncharacterized. The transcript has 7 exons. Lineage: Eukaryota; Metazoa; Chordata; Actinopteri; Acipenseriformes; Acipenseridae. The record is from RefSeq and is a predicted model, not a curated record.
UGACUUCACAAUAAGAAGUUAUAUAGUAUGAUGAGGACAUAUCCAGAGGAGAAUUAUCUCUCACAAUUCCAACAAGCAAACAGAAACUGAGAAGAAAACACUUUCAAUCACUCCCAACAAUUAUACACAGACCAGGAGGCUGAAUGAAGAUUUGAACUGUGUUUUGAAAGGUAACUGAAGUUUGUCUCAGAGGAUUAAGAUUUUCAUGGCUAAAUAUCUCACUGCCUUGUGACCAGCGGGCGGCCUCCCUCUUUGACAGACCCUCUGGGAACAAGCGCUGUCUCCCACAACUGAGGUUCAUUUUAGGACAUCAGCACCACCCACAGAAAGAAUGAGAAACUUUACUAGCAAAGAAAAAAAAACCCUCAUACUCAACUUGUGAGAUACAUGCCACAAUGCUUUGGAGGAAGAACAUUGUAUUGCAGGCAGGGUUCAAAAACUGUAUUGCACCGCCUAAUUGAUUUUGCUAGUGACACGUUUACCCAAGGGGAGGGCUAUUCAAAUUCCACAACAACUCUUCAGAUGCUCUGCGACAUGUAUAAAUACAAGAGAGAAACCUGGCACAAACUAAAUCUAACCAGUUUUCAGGAACAGAAUACUUCUUUAUUUGUUGUAAACCCCAACUAGCAAGUCAAAAUGAGCGACGCACCAGAACUCCCAAAAGCGGAACAAAUAAAGGAGGAGGAAAGUCAUGAAAAAAAGAAGGGAAAAGGAGAGCACGGACAUGGGCCUGGUGAGCACAAACACGGGAGUGGUGAACACAAACAUGAGCACGGGGUAGGGGGACACGAUCAUAGUGAACAUGGAAAGGGAAAAGGAUGCUGCAAAGACUAAUGAAGACAGCAGGAAUAAACCACCCCACUGCACCCCUACACUCAACAAUGCACUCUCUGUACCUGCCUCCUCUCAGUACUUCACAACUUUGGUCACCAAAACUGAAUGGAAAUGGCAUGUUUAAAAAGAAAAAUAAUAAAUAUUUAACUAUGGCUGGUGUAACGGUACAAUAAACUUCAUAAAUCCUUAUCUUAAAAAUAAAAAAAUCUGCUGUGGG